Molecule: ribosomal RNA, 254 nt
Filed under: uncultured bacterium
Lineage: Bacteria
Description: partial 16S ribosomal RNA
Rfam family: Bacterial small subunit ribosomal RNA
Source: RNAcentral
UACGGGGGGAGCAAGCGUUGUUCGGAUUUACUGGGCGUAAAGGGCGCGUAGGCGGCCACCGCAAGUCGACUGUGAAAUCUCCGGGCUUAACCCGGAAAGGUCAGCCGAUACUGCGGGGCUAGAGUGCAGAAGGGGCAACUGGAAUUCUCGGUGUAGCGGUGAAAUGCGUAGAUAUCGAGAGGAACACCUGCGGCGAAGGCGGGUUGCUGGGCUGACACUGACGCUGAUGCGCGAAAGCGUGGGGAGCGAACGGG